AGGAUUCCCCUAGUAACUGCGAGUGAAGCGGGAUAAGCUCAAAUUUGAAAUCUGGCAGUCUUUUUUUUCUUCUUUGGCUGUCCGAGUUGUAAUCUAGAGAAGUGCUACCUGCACUGGACCAUGUAUAAGUCUCCUGGAAUGGAGCCUCACAGAGGGUGAGAAUCCCGUCUUUGACAUGGACCGCCAGUGUGUUGUGGUGUGCUCUCAAAGAGUCGAGUUGUUUGGGAAUGCAGCUCUAAAUGGGUGGUAAACUCCAUCUAAAGCUAAAUAUUGGCGAGAGACCGAUAGCGAACAAGUACCGUGAGGGAAAGAUGAAAAGGACUUUGGAAAGAGAGUUAAACAGUAUGUGAAAUUGUUGAAAGGGAAACGCUUGAAGUCAGUUAUGUUGGCUAGGGAUCAACCUAGCUAUUUUUGCUGGGUGAAUUUCCUAGUUUGACAGGCCAACAUCAGUCUUGACUGCUGGAAAAGAGCAGAGGGAAUGUGGCACCUUUGGGUGUGUUAUAGCCUUUUGUCAUAUGUGGCAGUUGGGACUGAGGGAUGCAGCGUGCCGCGAGGCUGGGUUUCGACCACGUUCACGCUUAGGAUGUUGGCUUUUAAUGGCUUCAAUCGACCCGUCUUGAAACACGGACCAAGGAGUCUAACAUGCCUGCGAGUGUUUGGGUGGAAAACCCUUGUGCACAAUGAAAGUGAAAGUUGAGAUCCCUGUCAUGGGGAGCAUCGACGCCCGGACUGGAGCUUUUAGCAAUGGAUCCGCGGUAGAGCAUGCAUGUUGGGACCCGAAAGAUGGUGAACUAUGCCUGAAUAGGGCAAAGCCAGAGGAAACUCUGGUGGAGGCUCGUAGCGAUUCUGACGUGCAAAUCGAUCGUCAAAUUUGGGUAUAGGGGCGAAAGACUAAUCGAACCAUNUAGUAGCUGGUUCCUGCCGAAGUUUCCCUCAGGAUAGCAGAAGCUCAUUAUCAGAUUUAUGUGGUAAAGCGAAUGAUUAGAGGCCUUGGGGUUGAAACAACCUUAACCUAUUCUCAAACUUUAAAUAUGUAAGAACGAGCUGUCACUUGAUUGGACUGCUCGGCGAUUGAGAGCUUCUAGUGGGCCAUUUUUGGUAAGCAGAACGGCGAUGCGGGAUGAACCGAUCGCAAGGUUAAGGUGCCAGAGUUCACGCUCAUCAGACACCACAAAAGGUGUUAGUUCAUCUAGACAGCAGGACGGUGGCCAUGGAAGUCGGAACCCGCUAAGGAGUGUGUAACAACUCACCUGCCGAAUGAACUAGCCCUGAAAAUGGAUGGCGCUUAAGCGUGACACCCAUACCUUGCUGUCAGUGUUGAAGUGAUGCACUGACAAGUA
This 1340-nucleotide ribosomal RNA is filed under the name Amanita rhacopus. Its description in RNAcentral is "eukaryotic LSU rRNA". It matches the Rfam family "Eukaryotic large subunit ribosomal RNA", at positions 71 to 1383 of the family's 3401-position model. The record is from RNAcentral. Lineage: Eukaryota; Fungi; Basidiomycota; Agaricomycetes; Agaricales; Amanitaceae.